Heterocephalus glaber (naked mole-rat) is the source of this 107-nucleotide small nuclear RNA. The record is from Ensembl. Lineage: Eukaryota; Metazoa; Chordata; Mammalia; Rodentia; Bathyergidae.
GUGCUCGCUCCAGCAGCAUGUAUACUAAAAUUGGGACGAUACAGAGAAGAUCAGCAUGGCCCUUGUGCAAAGAUGACCCGCAAAUUCAUGAAGCAUUCUAUAGCUUU